GACGAACGCUGGCGGCGUGCCUAAUACAUGCAAGUAGAACGCUGACUACUUUAGCUUGCUAGAGUAGAAGGAGUUGCGAACGGGUGAGUAACGCGUAGGUAACCUGCCUACUAGCGGGGGAUAACUAUUGGAAACGAUAGCUAAUACCGCAUAACAGUGUUUAACACAUGUUAGAUGCUUGAAAGAUGCAAUUGCAUCACUAGUAGAUGGACCUGCGUUGUAUUAGCUAGUUGGUGGGGUAACGGCCCACCAAGGCGACGAUACAUAGCCGACCUGCGAGGGUGAUCGGCCACACUGGGACUGAGACACGGCCCAGACUCCUACUGGAGGCAGCAGUAGGGAAGCUUCGGCAAUGGGGUCAACCCUUACCGAGCAACGCCGCGUGAGUGAAGAAGGUUUUCGGAUCGUAAAGCUCUGUUGUAAGAGAAGAACGUGUGUGAGAGUGGAAAGUUCACACAGUGACGGUAACUUACCAGAAAGGAACGGCUAACUACGUGCCAGCCGCCGCAGUAA
Molecule: ribosomal RNA, 513 nt
Filed under: uncultured bacterium
Lineage: Bacteria
Description: partial 16S ribosomal RNA
Rfam family: Bacterial small subunit ribosomal RNA
Source: RNAcentral